Molecule: ribosomal RNA, 444 nt
Filed under: uncultured bacterium
Lineage: Bacteria
Description: partial 16S ribosomal RNA
Rfam family: Bacterial small subunit ribosomal RNA
Source: RNAcentral
CUACGGGGUGCAGCAGUGGGGAAUAUUGCACAAUGGGCGAAAGCCUGAUGCAGCAACGCCGCGUGAGGGACGACGGCCUUCGGGUUGUAAACCUCUUUUAGCAGGGAAGAAGCGAAAGUGACGGUACCUGCAGAAAAAGCACCGGCUAACUAUGUGCCAGCAGCCGCGGUAAUACGUAGGGUGCAAGCGUUGUCCGGAAUUAUUGGGCGUAAAGAGCUCGUAGGCGGUUUGUCGCGUCUGCUGUGAAAAUCCGAGGCUCAACCUCGGACCUGCAGUGGGUACGGGCAAACUAGAGUGCGGUAGGGGAGAUUGGAAUUCCUGGAGUAGCGGUGGAAUGCGCAGAUAUCAGGAGGAACACCAAUGGCGAAGGCAGAUCUCUGGGCCGUAACUGACGCUGAGGAGCGAAAGCGUGGGGAGCGAACAGGAUUAGAUACCCUUGUAGUC